RNAcentral lists this small RNA (3815 nucleotides) under Pan troglodytes (chimpanzee). RNAcentral's name for it is "retained intron". The record is from RNAcentral. Lineage: Eukaryota; Metazoa; Chordata; Mammalia; Primates; Hominidae.
GCUUCCCGAGCUGAAUAAGAUGACUCAGAAAGAUAUCACAUUUGUUGCUGAAUUUCUUACUGAACAUUUCAAUGAGGCUCCAGACCUUUAUAAUCGAAAAGGAAAAUACUUUAACGUUGAAAGAGUUGGUCAGUACUUGAAAGAUGAAGAUGAUGAUCUUGUGUCACCCCCUAACACAGAAGGAAAUCAGUGGUAUGACUUUCUUCAAAAUAGCAGCCACCUUAAAGAAAGUCCUUUGCUGUUUCCUUAUUAUCCUCGAAAAUCAUUGCAUUUUGUGAAAAGGCGGAUGGAGAAUAUUAUUGAUCAGUGUUUGCAAAAGCCAGCAGUAAGUUUGAAAGAAAUGCAUGUCUUUGUGUAGGAGCAAUAGUGUCUACAGUAUGUGGCUCACUUAUGUAAAUGAUCUUAAUUUUUAGAAUGAACUAUGAAAAUGUUGAUAUUCAACUGUUUUUGAUUAACAAAAGUAACAAUUUCAUAUGGUUCAACCUAAUACUCCAACUUAAGUUUCUUACACACGUGUGUGUGUGUGUGUGUGUGUAUAAAGAUUACUAAAGGUGUUGGCAUCUUGAGUAUUUUAUUUGUUCCCAGAAGAAAUUCAUUGUAAACAGUCUUAGUUACAGAGCUGAUGUGUCUCUGUUUACUACUGAAGGAUGUGAAUGAAUGGUUGUUAUGAGACCAGAGGGAGGUGGUCUUAAACCUGCCAUGUGCUUAGCACCAAGGUCCUUUUCAGCUCAGAAUUUUCUCUUUUUCCUUACUGUUACAAUUGUCAUUAAAGUUUCUUAUGUACAAGGUUUGGUGAUGUAGGCGAUUUUUUUACUACAUUCGAACAGUGAUGGUCAGUCACUUUCUGUAGAGUAUCUGUGUGCAUAUUAAUGCUCUAAUUAUAUUUUAAAAUCUUAUUUUAUAUAGGAUGUAAUUGGAAAAUCGAUGAAUCAAGCAAUCUGUAUUCCAUUGUAUAGAGAUACCAGAAGGUAAUUCUGUUUACCUAUUGGGUGGUGUAAUUCCGCAGCCAAUUUAAAUUUUUCUCAUUUCUUUUUCCCUUUUAUUUUAGUGAGGAUUCUACACGUAGAUUGUUCAAAUUUCCUUUUCUGUGGAAUAAUAAAACUUCAAAUCUACAUUAUCUUCUUUUUACUAUUCUAGAAGAUUCACUUUAUAAAAUGUGCAUCUUAAGGAGACAUACUGAUAUUUCUCAAUCUGUGAGUAAUGGACUAAUUGCUAUUAAAUUUGGGAGCUUUACAUAUGCCACAACAGAAAAAGUCAGAAGAAGGUAAGUCUUGAAUCUUGUUUGGAUGAAAUGUAGAUACAUGUGAUAUGUGUAUAUGUUUAGGAAUAGGAUCAGACUCAGUUACGGUGGUAAUAUAGGUAAAAGGGCUUUGCCACUUCCCACAUCAAGGGCAGGAUUCUUUGUAUAUUUAUACAUAGAGAAUGAUUUGACUUGUGAUUGAAUAGAACCUUACUGCCCUGCAGUUUAUGUCAUAUGGUUUCCUAUAAUUAAUACUCCUGAGCUCCCUGUUGACAAAGAAAGUAAUGUGGUUCCCAUGGGCAGAUGGCCUGCAGGGCUGAAGUUCUUGUUAUGACCAAAAAAAAUUAUGAGGUGAUGCCAUUCUUAGUGAUGGGAGAUUUUCUUAGGAUUCAAAAUGGUAACAGUACCUAAGCCAUCCCUGAGGCUUCGCAAGGAAAAGAAGUGACUAAUCAUAGGCUGAUCUUUUUCUCACUUUUUUCCUCACAUAAAAUAAGUUUUUUUAUGAUAAAGUCUUUGGAGUUGCUGUGCCUAUUUUUCAUGUGUAGUAUCUUAUUUUUAUUUCUCAGUCUAGUCAACUCUGCUGAAUGUGUAUAUAAGGUGUCAUUCAUAGAAUUUCCACAGGCUUAAGGCCUAACCAUUGAUGGCCAGGGGCUUUCUAGAACUGAAACAACUUCACAGAUUUUUGGGGGUCAUGAUUACCCAUUUUUAAGAUUUGGUUAUAUAUGUGAAUAAUCAGUACAAAAAGUAACUGAUUUUAAUACAAACCAAUGAUACAUUUUAAAUGUUAUUGUACAGAAUGUCACUUAACUUUUAAAUUUUUUUCUGCUUGCUGCCAGUAUAACAUGCAUACAGUAUUUUCUCAGUAGUCACGAUCAUCUUUGAUAUAACAAAACUUAUUUUAAUUCUAGCAUCUACAGUUGUUUAGAUGCACAGUUUUAUGAUGAUGAAACUGUAACAGUAGUUCUUAAAGACACUGUAGGACGUGAAGGAAGAGAUAGACUCUUGGUCCAGCUGCCUUUGUCUUUAGUAUAUAACAGUGAAGAUUCUGCAGAAUAUCAGUUCACUGGGACUUAUUCUACAAGGUAACUAGUAACAUUGUCUUUCUGAUAUUUCAGUUAAAUGUUUUUUUAAUGCACAUUAUAAAUUUCAACCUUUUAGGUAUGCUAGAUAAUGGUUAUUUCGUUACUAGAGAUAACCACAGAGGUAGCUGAGCAGAAAUGCUCCAAUCUUUCAUUCAAAAUAUGCUGGCCUUAAUAGCUUUUUUUGUCCCUUUGCUUUACUAGUAAAUCAGGAAGUAUUUGCUGGAAUCAAGGUGGGGAAUUAUUUGGAGUGGAGAAUGGGACUUCUUUUAGUUACAUUUUUAAGGAUAGCAUUAACCCUGGGUGGUUGGAAUUAGUUAUUUUUUAUUUGCCUUCAGUAUUUUCCUUCCAGAAUUAAGACCUCAGUACCCAUGUAGGAAGUAUACUGUCAAUUCCAAGAGAUGGCUUUAAUUGACUGAGACUUAAGUAAGCAGAUCUCUAAUUUAAAAAUGUAUCCAUUUGCUUUCUUUGAAAGGGAGUCAGAAACCUUGCUAAGAUGAUAUUCUGCCUAUUUGGAAUUACAGUAUUUCUUUUCCUUUUUUUUUUGAAACAGGGCCUCUCUCUGUCACCCAGGUUGGAGUGCAGUGACGCAAUCAUAGCUCACUGCAGCCUCCAACUCAUGGGCUCAAGUGACCCUCCUGCCUCAGCCUCUCAUAGCUGGGACUACAGGCAUGUGCCACCUUGCCUGACUAAUUUUAUUUUUUUACAGAGAUAGAGUCUUACUAUGUUGCCUAGGCUGGCCUUGAACUCCUGGACUCAAGCAAUCCUCCCACCUUGGCCUCGCAAAGUGCUGAGAUUCCAGGCAUGAGCCACUGUGCCUAGCCAGAAUAUAGAAUAUGGAAUUUUUAUAGAAUAUUAUAUCACAGCUUUUUUUCUAACACAACAGUUGCUAAAAUUAUAUUGGAAAUAGAAGUAUGAGUAGAAGUCAAAACCAUAAUUGACCCUAAUACCACCUGUAGUAAACUAGGGAGGAGAAGAUCCCCUUUUCAUUCCUGAGUUGGUUUUUUUCCCUCUUUAGGCUAGAUGAACAGUGUAGUGCUAUUCCCACCCGUACCAUGCAUUUUGAGAAGCACUGGAGAUUACUGGAAAGUAUGAAAGCACAGUAUGUUGCUGGGAAUGGUUUUCGAAAAGUGUCCUGUGUGUUAAGCUCAAAUCUUCGUCAUGUGAGAGUAUUUGAAAUGGACAUAGAUGAUGAAUGGGAGCUCGAUGAGUCUUCAGAUGAAGAGGAGGAGGCCAGUAAUAAGCCUGUAAAAAUAAAGGAAGAAGUGUUGUCGGAGUCAGAGGCAGAGAACCAACAAGCUGGUGCUGCCGCUUUAGCUCCAGAGAUAGUCAUUAAAGUGGAAAAACUUGACCCUGAGCUAGACUCCUAAUCUAGCUUGCCAUUAUUGUGUGUGUAAUUAUGGCCAAAAGGACAUAGGAGAUGGACUAAGAUGUCUUGGACCACCUUUAAUUUUCUUUGUGUAACAAAGAAAUAAACAGUAAAUUUUAUUUUUUCA